CCUGAUCAGAUCAUCCGAAUCGUGCUCAACUCAAACAGUCCUGUGACUCCUCACUAGGACUACCCUGGCCAAGAUUUUGCUAAAUUGAAACAUGACUAUACACAGCUCCUGAACUGGAGUGGUCAAUCCCAUCUUGACACAUGCACCGACAAGUCAAGUACUUGACUACACCCAGCAGCCUUUCGUCACUGAAUUAAAAAUUCAGGUAGUCCAGUGCCUAAGUGCAGUGAGUUGCUUGCAAGUCACCAUGGUGGUCUCAGGUCGGAGGGACAUUUAUACCCAUAUCCC
RNAcentral lists this long non-coding RNA (288 nucleotides) under Elaeis guineensis (African oil palm). RNAcentral's name for it is "long non-coding RNA (EGUI_LNC068152)". The record is from RNAcentral. Lineage: Eukaryota; Viridiplantae; Streptophyta; Magnoliopsida; Arecales; Arecaceae.